GAGUUUGAUCAUGGCUCAGGAUGAACGCUAGCGACAGGCCUAACACAUGCAAGUCGAGGGGCAACGGGGAUGUUAGCUUGCUAAUAUCUGCCGGCGACCGGCGCACGGGUGAGUAACGCGUAUGCGACCUGCCCGUCACAGGGGGAUAAUCCGGAGAAAUCCGGUCUAAUACCGCAUAAUAUCGUGAAUCUGCAUGGAUUUGCGAUUAAAGGAGCGAUCCGGUGACGGAUGGGCAUGCGUGACAUUAGCUAGUCGGCGGGGUAACGGCCCACCGAGGCGACGAUGUCUAGGGGUUCUGAGAGGAAGGUCCCCCACACUGGUACUGAGACACGGACCAGACUCCUACGGGAGGCAGCAGUGAGGAAUAUUGGUCAAUGGGCUUACGCCUGAACCAGCCAAGUCGCGUGAGGGAAGACUGCCCUAUGGGUUGUAAACCUCUUUUGUCAGGGAGCAACGCCGGCUACGUGUAGCCGGACUGAGAGUACCUGAAGAAAAAGCAUCGGCUAACUCCGUGCCAGCAGCCGCGGUAAUACGGAGGAUGCGAGCGUUAUCCGGAUUUAUUGGGUUUAAAGGGUGCGUAGGCGGAAUGCCAAGUCAGCGGUAAAAUCGCGGGGCUCAACCUCGCUCCGCCGUUGAAACUGGCGUUCUUGAGUGGGCGAGAAGUAUGCGGAAUGCGUGGUGUAGCGGUGAAAUGCAUAGAUAUCACGCAGAACUCCGAUUGCGAAGGCAGCAUACCGGCGCCCAACUGACGCUGAAGCACGAAAGCGUGGGUAUCGAACAGGAUUAGAUACCCUGGUAGUCCACGCAGUAAACGAUGAAUACUAGCUGUUCGGGGCAAUUGGGCCUUGAGUGGCACAGCGAAAGCGUUAAGUAUUCCACCUGGGGAGUACGCCGGCAACGGUGAAACUCAAAGGAAUUGACGG
This 923-nucleotide ribosomal RNA is filed under the name uncultured bacterium. RNAcentral's name for it is "bacterial SSU rRNA". It matches the Rfam family "Bacterial small subunit ribosomal RNA", at positions 9 to 916 of the family's 1533-position model. The record is from RNAcentral.